ACCCCUGUGAGAAUGCCCUACAGUUCCCCGCCCGGGAACGAGGAGCCGGUAUCAGGCACUCAUAACCCAGCCCAUGACACCUUGCUUAGCCACACCCUCAAGGGAACUCAGCAGUGAUAGACAUUAAGCCAUAAGUGAAAACUUGACUUAGUCAAAGCUAACAGGGCCGGUAAAACUCGUGCCAGCCACCGCGGUUAUACGAGAGGCCCAAGUUGACAGUCACCGGCGUAAAGAGUGGUUAAAGAAUGAUUUAAACUAAAGCCGAACACCUUCAAGGCAGUUAUACGCACCCGAAGGUUAGAAGCCCAACUACGAAAGUGGCUUUAUCUUUCCUGAACCCACGAGAGCUACGGCACAAACUGGGAUUAGAUACCCCACUAUGCCUAGCCCUAAACAUUGAUAGUACUCUACACCCACUAUCCGCCCGGGAACUACGAGCAUCAGCUUGAAACCCAAAGGACUUGGCGGUGCUUUAGAUCCACCUAGAGGAGCCUGUUCUAGAACCGAUAACCCCCGUUCAACCUCACCUUUUCUUGUUUUCCCCGCCUAUAUACCGCCGUCGUCAGCUUACCCUGUGAAGGACUCAUAGUAAGCAAAAUUGGCACAGCCCAAAACGUCAGGUCGAGGUGUAGCGUAUGGAAAGGGAAGAAAUGGGCUACAUUCCCUAUAAUUAGUGAAUACGGACGAUGUCCUGAAAGAGACAUCUGAAGGAGGAUUUAGCAGUAAGCAGGAAAUAGAGCGUUCCGCUGAAAUUGGCCCUGAAGCGCGCACACACCGCCCGUCACUCUCCCCAAGCUCACAAAUUAAUUAAUUAAAACCCUAAAAUCGCAAAGGGGAGGCAAGUCGUAACAUGGUAAGUGUACCGGAAGGUGCACUUGGAAAAAU
This 885-nucleotide non-coding RNA is filed under the name Chelidonichthys spinosus (red gurnard). RNAcentral describes it as "partial 12S rRNA". It matches the Rfam family "Bacterial small subunit ribosomal RNA", at positions 184 to 1533 of the family's 1533-position model. Lineage: Eukaryota; Metazoa; Chordata; Actinopteri; Perciformes; Triglidae. The record is from RNAcentral.